This 1505-nucleotide long non-coding RNA is filed under the name Mus caroli (Ryukyu mouse). RNAcentral describes it as "predicted gene, 26646 (MGP_CAROLIEiJ_G0004039.1)". The record is from RNAcentral. Lineage: Eukaryota; Metazoa; Chordata; Mammalia; Rodentia; Muridae.
UUUUUUUUUUUUUAAAAGCCAUGUAUGGUGGCUCACUCCUGCAAGGCUGCAAGGUUACCUAAGACAGGACGGUCACUAAGGAGGAGGACAGCCUGGUUUAUAUGGUAAAUUGCUGGCCAGCCUGAACCACAGGGUCAGUCCUCAUCUCAACAAAACAAAACAGAAGGAGGUGGGGUAGAGAGGGGAGGAGAAAGGAGACUCACUGCAGAGGACCAUGUGUCUAAGCCUAGCACUUAGGAAGAAGGUGAGACCCUGGAUAAGGGGGGAAAGUCGGGCGUGGUAGUGCUUUAAUAAUAGCACUUGAAGAGGCAGAGGGAUGGAUCUCUGAGUUCAAUGACAGCCUGGUCUACACAGUAAGUUCCAGUUCAGCCAGAGAUAUGGAGUGAGAACCUGUCUCAAAACAAACAGACAGACAAGAUAAGGAAGAAACCAGGCAGAAACGAAGUAGUUAAAACUUCUAGAUCAGAACCUGGUAAUGGUGGUGCACGCCUUUAAUUCCAGUGCUUGGGGGACAGAGGCAGGUGGGGCUGAAGCCUGAAAGUCUUCUGAUUUUAUUCCCUCUCAGACGGAACCAGUCUCUCAGAAGGAUAUUUUAAAACCUAACCACGAAUAAAAUAUUGAGGUACAGAAGGCAAAGAACGGCAUUUACGUUUCCCCAAAGGAAAUGUUUCCAGAAAAUUCAAAUGUGCAUGAACAUUGCCAAGGCAUUCAUUCCAUGAUGGCAUUUGUUUAAUUAUUUGAUUUCUUAAGAUGCAGUCUGGUGUAGCUCAAGCUGGCUUAGAACUAGCUGUGUAUCUGAGGAUAACUUUGAAGUCCUGAUCCUCUCACCUCCAUCUCCCGAGUUCUGAGCUUUGAGGUGUGCACCACUACAACUGGCAUCUUGUAAUAGCUCAUUUCCCCCUAGUUUUAAAAGAGACUUUCUGCAACCUUACUGGAUAAAAAGUAGCCCAACCCUGAUAAGUGCCAGCCAAUGCUGAAGCAAGUGAUUCCAGGAAAGAACUUCUCUCCAUGCCCUUGAGAAAAUAUAAACUUAAAAGAACCCAACGACCAGAUCAUCACAAAACUACCCUCAUCAAUUUAAAAAAAAAAAAAAAAACAACAAAAAAAUACAGAAACAAAAAACUUAAAAGACAGAGGCUCCUGUCACCCAAGAUCUCAAUGCGGCACACUGUGUACUGCGUCUAUCCCUAAGACCCAAGGGAAAGUGUCACAAAACACAAAAAAGCGAAGCUCCAGGAAGGAUGAGGGAGGAGCAAGGGGGUGGGUCAUGCACUGUGCCAGAGCAGGAGAUGCUGCUGAGCGCGGCUGCGGGCCGUGGGGAAGGGAUGUCUCGGGUGCUCCGCAGGGGCAUGGUUGGUCGGGCUGCACUCACAAAACGCUGGUAGAAGCGGACCAGCCGCGGUUUCCCAUGGUUGUUGAAAACCAGAAUCGCCUGAAUCAUCUUUACCGGUCCCGCUUCUCUCGGCACCAGCGGCUCCAAGAAUGCACCUUCUUCCGGCACAACA